RNAcentral lists this transfer RNA (72 nucleotides) under Loxodonta africana (African savanna elephant). It matches the Rfam family "tRNA". From Rfam's summary of the family: Transfer RNA (tRNA) molecules are approximately 80 nucleotides in length. The record is from Rfam by way of RNAcentral. Lineage: Eukaryota; Metazoa; Chordata; Mammalia; Proboscidea; Elephantidae.
GCAGUGGUGGUUCAGUGGUAAAAUUCUCACCUUUCAGUGUGGGAAACCUGGGCUCAAUUCCUGGCCAGUGCA